GCUGAUUCACAUAUUUUGGAAGAGCAGCAGUUGCACCAGAAGUUGAUCAUUGAGGAACAGGAUGAACAGUUGGAGCUGGUCUCUGGCAGCAUUUCUGUGCUGAGGCACAUGUCGGGGCGGGUUGGAGAAGAACUUGAUGAACAAACUAUAAUGCUAGAAGACUUUGCUCACGAGAUGGACAACACUCAGAACGGCAUAGAUGGGGUGCUCAAAAAGAUGG
Molecule: long non-coding RNA, 220 nt
Filed under: Notechis scutatus (mainland tiger snake)
Lineage: Eukaryota; Metazoa; Chordata; Lepidosauria; Squamata; Elapidae
Description: lncRNA (ENSNSUG00000003445.1)
Source: RNAcentral